UUAUUGAUCAAACUAAAGUCAUAUUAAGGAGCUACUGGCACGGAGUCAGAGCAGAGCUCAGAAAUCUGAAAUAUAUCAAAGUAUAUUAAAGUUAAAGAGUUUAGAGAACACUGUUUGGUUAGCUGCCUCAAAGGCAGAUGACUCUCAAUAUCACAAGAUCAGGUGAAAUUUCAGACCAAGGAAAAUCACUGGGAUUAUCUGUGAAGAGGCAGAAGAGCAUAGACGUGGUCUACCUUAUAGCCAUUUUGAAAAGCCUGCAGACACAGAGGACGGUUACAGAGAAGAAGCAGAGGAUUUUCUCAGUUUCUACACAGACCUGGUCCAGACAGCAGAGCGCUGCAGAGUGAAGACGUUCAUGGAAGCUGAGUCAGUGCAACGUCCUCUUUGAAUCCUGGAUCAGGAAGUAAAGCCGGUUCUCAGUCAUCCAGGUCAUCGUAGUCUAAGGAGCUUGGAAAGGAAAGCGUCUGGACUUC
This is a long non-coding RNA of Oreochromis aureus, 473 nucleotides long. RefSeq lists it as uncharacterized. NCBI's taxonomy places the organism in Eukaryota, Metazoa, Chordata, Actinopteri, Cichliformes, Cichlidae. The transcript is spliced from 3 exons. The record is from RefSeq and is a predicted model, not a curated record.